This 77-nucleotide transfer RNA is filed under the name Vibrio phage Pontus. Its description in RNAcentral is "tRNA-Met". It matches the Rfam family "tRNA". Rfam says of the family: Transfer RNA (tRNA) molecules are approximately 80 nucleotides in length. Their secondary structure includes four short double-helical elements and three loops (D, anti-codon, and T loops). RNAcentral also lists the same sequence under 20 other names. Lineage: Duplodnaviria; Heunggongvirae; Uroviricota; Caudoviricetes; Demerecviridae. The record is from RNAcentral.
UGCGAGGAUGGAGAAAUGGCGUCUUGCGAGUUUCAUAAGCUCGAUAACGUGGGGUUCGAAUCCUCACCUCGCAACCA